GACGAACGCUGGCGGCGUGCUUAACACAUGCAAGUCGAACGGAAAGGCCCUGCUUUUGUGGGGUGCUCGAGUGGCGAACGGGUGAGUAACCCGUGAGUAACCUGCCCUUGACUUUGGGAUAUCCUCAGGCAACUGGGGCUAAUACCGGAUAGGAGCUCCUGCUGCAUGGUGGGGGUUGGAAAGUUUCGGCGGUUGGGGAUGGACUCGCGGCUUAUCAGCUUGUUGGUUGGGUAGUGGCUUACCAAGGCUUUGACGGGUAGCCGGCCUGAGAGGGUGACCGGCCACAUUGGGACUGAGAUACGGCCCAGACUCCUACGGGAGGCAGCAGUGGGGAAUAUUGCACAAUGGGCGGAAGCCUGAUGCAGCAACGCCGCGUGCGGGAUGACGGCCAUCGGGUUGUAAACCGCUUUCGCCUGUGACGAAGCGUGAGUGACGGUAAUGGGUAAAGAAGCACCGGCUAACUACGUG
RNAcentral lists this ribosomal RNA (468 nucleotides) under uncultured bacterium. Its description in RNAcentral is "partial 16S ribosomal RNA". It matches the Rfam family "Bacterial small subunit ribosomal RNA", at positions 28 to 507 of the family's 1533-position model. The record is from RNAcentral.